GAAGCGAACGCGGUGAACUGAAACAUCUAAGUAACCGCAGGAAAAGAAAUCAACCGAGAUUCCCAAAGUAGUGGCGAGCGAAAUGGGAUGAGCCUUGCACUCUUUAUUUGUAUUGUUAGCCGAACGCUCUGGAAAGUGCGGCCAUAGCAGGUGAUAGCCCUGUAGGCGAAAACAGUAUGAAAGAACUAGGUGUGCGACAAGUAGGGCGGGACACGUGAAAUCCUGUCUGAAGAUGGGGGGACCAUCCUCCAAGGCUAAAUACUCGUGAUCGACCGAUAGUGAACCAGUACCGUGAGGGAAAGGCGAAAAGAACCCCGGGAGGGGAGUGAAAUAGAUCCUGAAACCGCAUGCAUACAAACAGUCGGAGCCUCGUAAGGGGUGACGGCGUACCUUUUGUAUAAUGGGUCAGCGACUUACGUUCAGUAGCAAGCUUAACCGUAUAGGGCAGGCGUAGCGAAAGCGAGUCCGAAUAGGGCGUUCAGUUGCUGGGCGUAGACCCGAAACCAGGUGAUCUAUCCAUGGCCAGGAUGAAGGUGCGGUAACACGUACUGGAGGUCCGAACCCACUAACGUUGAAAAGUUAGGGGAUGAGCUGUGGAUAGGGGUGAAAGGCUAAACAAACCUGGAAAUAGCUGGUUCUCUCCGAAAACUAUUUAGGUAGUGCCUCGUGUCUCACCUUCGGGGGUAGAGCACUGUCAUGGUUGGGGGGUCUAUUGCAGAUUACCCCGCCAUAGCAAACUCCGAAUACCGAAGAGUGCAAUCACGGGAGACAGACAUCGGGUGCUAACGUCCGGUGUCAAGAGGGAAACAACCCAGACCGCCAGCUAAGGUCCCCAAAUAUAGCUAAGUGGGAAACGAAGUGGGAAGGCUAAAACAGUCAGGAGGUUGGCUUAGAAGCAGCCACCCUUUAAAGAAAGCGUAAUAGCUCACUGAUCGAGUCGUCCUGCGCGGAAGAUGUAACGGGGCUAAGCUAUAUACCGAAGCUGCGGAUGCGUGCUUGCACGCAUGGUAGGAGAGCGUUCCGUAAGCCUGCGAAGGUGCCUUGUAAAGGGUGCUGGAGGUAUCGGAAGUGCGAAUGCUGACAUGAGUAGCGAUAAAGGGGGUGAAAGGCCCCCUCGCCGUAAGCCCAAGGUUUCCUACGCAACGUUCAUCGGCGUAGGGUGAGUCGGCCCCUAAGGCGAGGCAGAAAUGCGUAGCUGAUGGGAAGCAGGUCAAUAUUCCUGCACCAUUGUUAGAUGCGAUGGGGGGACGGAUCGCGGAAGGUUGUCCGGGUGUUGGAAGUCCCGGUCGCUGCAUUGGAGAAGGCGCUUAGGCAAAUCCGGGCGCGUAAUUCAAGGGUGUGGCGCGAGCUCCUUAGGGAGCGAAGCAAUUGGAAGUGGUUCCAAGAAAAGCCUCUAAGCUUCAGUCUAACGAUGACCGUACCGCAAACCGACACAGGUGGGCGAGAUGAGUAUUCUAAGGCGCUUGAGAGAACUCGGGAGAAGGAACUCGGCAAAUUGGUACCGUAACUUCGGGAUAAGGUACGCCCUUGUAGCUUGACCAGCCUGCGCUGGAAGGGUGAAGGGGUUGCAAUAAACUGGUGGCUGCGACUGUUUAAUAAAAACACAGCACUCUGCAAACACGAAAGUGGACGUAUAGGGUGUGACGCCUGCCCGGUGCCGGAAGAUUAAAUGAUGGGGUGCAAGCUCUUGAUUGAAGUCCCGGUAAACGGCGGCCGUAACUAUAACGGUCCUAAGGUAGCGAAAUUCCUUGUCGGGUAAGUUCCGACCUGCACGAAUGGCGUAACGAUGGCCACACUGUCUCCUCCCGAGACUCAGCGAAGUUGAAGUGUUUGUGAUGAUGCAAUCUACCCGCGGCUAGACGGAAAGACCCCAUGAACCUUUACUGUAGCUUUGCAUUGGACUUUGAACCGAUCUGUGUAGGAUAGGUGGGAGGCUAUGAAACCGGAACGCUAGUUUCGGUGGAGCCGUCCUUGAAAUACCACCCUGGUUUGUUUGAGGUUCUAACCUUGGCCCGUGAUCCGGGUCGGGGACAGUGCAUGGUAGGCAGUUUGACUGGGGCGGUCUCCUCCCAAAGCGUAACGGAGGAGUACGAAGGUACGCUAGGUACGGUCGGAAAUCGUGCUGAUAGUGCAAUGGCAUAAGCGUGCUUAACUGCGAGACCGACAAGUCGAGCAGGUGCGAAAGCAGGUCAUAGUGAUCCGGUGGUUCUGUAUGGAAGGGCCAUCGCUCAACGGAUAAAAGGUACUCUGGGGAUAACAGGCUGAUACCGCCCAAGAGUUCAUAUCGACGGCGGUGUUUGGCACCUCGAUGUCGGCUCAUCUCAUCCUGGGGCUGUAGCCGGUCCCAAGGGUAUGGCUGUUCGCCAUUUAAAGAGGUACGUGAGCUGGGUUUAAAACGUCGUGAGACAGUUUGGUCCCUAUCUGCCGUGGGCGUUGGAUAUUUGAAGGGGGCUGCUCCUAGUACGAGAGGACCGGAGUGGACGAACCUCUGGUGUACCGGUUGUCACGCCAGUGGCAUCGCCGGGUAGCUAUGUUCGGAAGAGAUAACCGCUGAAAGCAUCUAAGCGGGAAACUCGCCUUAAGAUGAGAUAUCCCUGGGGACUAGAUCCCCUUGAAGGGUCGUUCGAGACCAGGACGUUGAUAGGUCAGGUGUGUAAGCGCAGUAAUGCGUUCAGCUAACUGAUACUAAUUGCCCGUAAGGCUUGAUCCU
RNAcentral lists this ribosomal RNA (2710 nucleotides) under Burkholderia cenocepacia. Its description in RNAcentral is "partial 23S ribosomal RNA". It matches the Rfam family "Bacterial large subunit ribosomal RNA". Lineage: Bacteria; Pseudomonadati; Pseudomonadota; Betaproteobacteria; Burkholderiales; Burkholderiaceae. The record is from RNAcentral.